Long non-coding RNA from Ailuropoda melanoleuca (giant panda), 2310 nucleotides. RefSeq lists it as uncharacterized. The record is from RefSeq and is a predicted model, not a curated record. Lineage: Eukaryota; Metazoa; Chordata; Mammalia; Carnivora; Ursidae. The transcript has 3 exons.
GACGGAGUGUUCCCGCGGCCGCUUGCCUCAGCCUCCCCUUCCUGGCGCGCGGGAUAAAGGCUCGUCCAGCAGAUGCAGGAGGAAGUAGCUUUCCCAGGCUGUGGAAUUAGGAGAAUAUGUUCUAUAAGAACUCCCCGCUCUCCUUAGGAAACGCCCUGGGGUCCUGUGUUAGCUGCAAAGGCCAAAGGCGUGCUUCACACCUGGAGAGGAGGAGAAGUGGAAGCCUCCGCACGCACACAAGCCCAUCAGUGCUGUCACUGGGGAGAAGCAUCUAGAUGGUGGCAGGAGGGACGGCCACUGCUAACCUGCCACACAGUAUAGAUGGUCCACCUCUUUCGGAGACGAUUUGUCAAGUUUUCUUAGUACCUUCUAGUUCAUGCUGUGACAUCUGACACGUCGGCUAAGUUCCUCUGGAGCGUUUCCUUUUGUACGUCAACGUGUCCACCCUGUGCAACAGGGCCGUUGUCUUCGUGUUCGGACACUGUUUGUAUGGACGCAGCCGACACGUACUGGGAGCUGACUCAUGGCAGGCUGGAGGAGGCUAACCCCCGACACAAACCAUGUACUUAUUGUAUUGUUUUUCUCCCAACUGUGAACUUGGACAGCAUUUUUUUUUUCCGUUUAACAUAGGAAUCUGACUUUACAUUGUAUCCCUACUGUAUCCAGGUUGGGUUCAUUUCACCCACUCUAGGCUGUCAAAUGCUUUGGGAUCCUGAUCCCCAUGCAAUAUUUUAGUCCUCCUAUGCUUUGUAACAUUUGAAAUGAGAUGGGUUUGCCUCUGGGUCUCACCCCAUCACUGAUAAAAUAUGAAGAGAGAAGGCCAAGGGCUGAAAAGAAAACACAUUUCUCUACGAGCCGGGAGAUUUUAGAGAGAAAACUAGUCACUGUGACCAAAAGGACAGAGUGGAGAGCAUGUACGUGCAUUACCAGCAUUGCCUUUAAUUCAAAGGGCCACUUUUAAAAAUACAAAGGAGUAAGCUUUUGCUCCAACCGGUCAGCCAAAAAAACCACAGCCCUGUAAAUAGGAUGUUACAAUCGGGCCCCUUCUCGGGGGACACCACGACAUACGGGCAGCCAGCAGAGUGAGGAUUAAGUCACUCUGCACACGUCCUGUGAGCCUCGAGCCCCUACACUCUCUGCAGAACAGGAAGGACAUCAGUGUGGAAAGAGCUGGAUCUGGAGAGGGCCUUCAUGAGGACAGUAGCUUUGGAGAAGGCCGGGCUUGACCAGCAUCCGUCUGCCCCUUCCACGCCACCCGGAGGCCAGUCCCACCCUGCAACAGAACACAUUUGGUCCCACCACACCUACUUCUACAAGCAACUGCGGACGCUGGACAAAUCAUCAGUAACGUCUUAGCAUCAGUUGACUUAGCAUGACGCUUUCUUCUGGGUUUCUGCAUUACAGUUUCUACUAUAGAGCUACUAUUUAUAUUCCUCACCGGCAAAGUGGAAAAUAACAAGUCAUUAUGUAUACUCAGACUAUACAUACUGGAAUGGGGUAGCUGAUGUGUUCUUUGAAAUUUUGGAAACUAAAUAAAAAUGGAAUUUCACUAGCUUAAUUCCCUCGACUGUUCUAGUCAAGAACUGUUAAGAUUUAGAAUAGCAUAGAAGUGACUUCAUCCUUAGUCUUUAGACACUCUUUUAAAAGAAACUCUAAUUAAUAAAGUGGGUCAGUGACUCAACUGUCCACAUGAAUGUGUCAUACUCAAAAAAGAGAUGACCCAAGGGAGGCUGAUGCCAGACAACUUGGAUUUUUCUACUUAAAAAAACCCAAAGAACCAAGACCAAACCAACACAGAAAACUUAAGCUUAAAGAAAAAUAGAUAAUGGGGAGUAAUUCAGUAAAUUAGUCUCAAAUGCAAGAAAAGUCAUAGUUAUUUUUCUGCCCUCUCUUUGGACAGUUUCCAAACUUACUAUAUAGCCCGGGCCAAACCAGAAGAAAAACAAAUUAUGUGCUGAACUUACAUUUUGGCUUUCCCUAAUGCACGGGAGAAAACCCCUGAAUGAGUAAAACACGGAAUACUUUAAUAUCCACUUUGGAACUUAAAUUGCUUUUUCUUCUCCAUAAAAUCAAGUGCAAUGGAGCAGAAGUUCUGUGUUUGUCACCAAUCCUUUAUUGAAACUGGUAACUGACACGCUUUAUAAUAGAACAACAAAAAUAAUGUUCAAUAUAUACAGUCUUUGCAUGGACUAUUUGACUAUACACAAGGCAGAGUGAUAACACGAUCUAAUUUCCAUAAUAAUUUGUGCACAAAAAGACACCCAGCAGACAAUGUGUGAACAUUACAGUGGAAUGACAUCACGGGUCCAG